Non-coding RNA from Drosophila kikkawai, 163 nucleotides. The record is from RefSeq and is a predicted model, not a curated record. Lineage: Eukaryota; Metazoa; Arthropoda; Insecta; Diptera; Drosophilidae.
UGAGCGUUAGGAAGAUGUCGAGGUUUUACAAUUCCAAGCUUCGUCAUUGACCCAUUAAACGCCAGAUUAAUAUAAACUGAGACCUGUUAACAGUCUCAGUUGAGCCAACAGGGCCGCAAAGAAGCAAACCUAUCUUUGUUCGGUAGUAAGCUGCUCGCACAAA